CAGGAGCCUGGUGGAGACAGCUGGGACAUGGCAGAAUGGAGGGGUUCCAGACACUUGCUCCUGCAAAUGGUCCUCGUCAUCCACCAGAGCCAGCCCCACCAUCUCACUGCUGCCUCCACACUCAGCUAAGACCAGGGGUAUUGUCCAGCCUCCUUGUGCCAAAGACAUCUCAGCCCCAGACAUCUGAGGAGAAAGGAUGGGUUGCAGAUGCCUCCUAAGGACGCUAGAGGGCUCAGGCAGCCUUCAGGUCCUGUGUUACUCAUUCCUCUACUCCCAGAUCCUGAAAUUUGGGCUAGAAACAACCACACUUUCCCCCCUCAGAGGUGUCUGGAAGAGCAAAUAUGAGUGGGCUUUAGCUAAAAAUAAAGUUACAUUCAUGUGCAAGAA
Molecule: long non-coding RNA, 387 nt
Organism: Myotis lucifugus (little brown bat)
Lineage: Eukaryota; Metazoa; Chordata; Mammalia; Chiroptera; Vespertilionidae
Exons: 2
Source: RefSeq, a predicted model, not a curated record